UUGUAGCUUAGGUAAAGCAUUUGCCUACCUUGCAUGAGGUCCUGGGUUCAAUUCCCGGCAA
This 61-nucleotide transfer RNA is filed under the name Rattus norvegicus (Norway rat). It matches the Rfam family "tRNA", at positions 5 to 66 of the family's 71-position model. Rfam says of the family: Transfer RNA (tRNA) molecules are approximately 80 nucleotides in length. Their secondary structure includes four short double-helical elements and three loops (D, anti-codon, and T loops). Lineage: Eukaryota; Metazoa; Chordata; Mammalia; Rodentia; Muridae. The record is from Rfam by way of RNAcentral.